GACGAACGCUGGCGGCGUGCUUAACACAUGCAAGUCGAACGGAAAGGCCCCCUUGUGGGGUACUCGAGUGGCGAACGGGUGAGUAACACGUGAGUAACCUACCCUUGACUUUGGGAUAACUUCAGGAAACUGGGGCUAAUACCGGAUAGGAGCUCCUGCUGCAUGGUGGGGGUUGGAAAGUUUCGGCGGUUGGGGAUGGACUCGCGGCUUAUCAGCUUGUUGGUGGGGUAGUGGCUCACCAAGGCUUUGACGGGUAGCCGGCCUGAGAGGGUGACCGGCCACAUUGGGACUGAGAUACGGCCCAGACUCCUACGGGAGGCAGCAGUGGGGAAUAUUGCACAAUGGGCGGAAGCCUGAUGCAGCAACGCUGCGUGCGGGAUGACGGCCUUCGGGUUGUAAACCGCUUUCGCCUGUGACGAAGCGUGAGUGACGGUAAUGGGUAAAGAAGCACCGGCUAACUACGUG
RNAcentral lists this ribosomal RNA (465 nucleotides) under uncultured bacterium. Its description in RNAcentral is "partial 16S ribosomal RNA". It matches the Rfam family "Bacterial small subunit ribosomal RNA", at positions 28 to 507 of the family's 1533-position model. The record is from RNAcentral.